This 492-nucleotide ribosomal RNA is filed under the name uncultured bacterium. Its description in RNAcentral is "partial 16S ribosomal RNA". It matches the Rfam family "Bacterial small subunit ribosomal RNA", at positions 29 to 507 of the family's 1533-position model. The record is from RNAcentral.
AGUGAACGCUGGCGGUAGGCCUAACACAUGCAAGUCGAACGGCAGCACAGUAAGAGCUUGCUCUUACGGGUGGCGAGUGGCGGACGGGUGAGGAAUACAUCGGAAUCUACUUUUUCGUGGGGGAUAACGUAGGGAAACUUACGCUAAUACCGCAUACGACCUACGGGUGAAAGCAGGGGAUCUUCGCACCUUGCGCGAAUGAAUGAGCCGAUGUCGGAUUAUCUAGUUGGCAGGGUAAAGGCGCACCAAAGAGGGGAUCCAUAGCGGGUCUGAGUGGGUGGACGGCCACCCUGGCACGGAGAAACGGCGCAGACUCCUGAGGUGAGAAGCGGUCGGGAAUAUUGGACAAUGGGGGAAAGCCUGAUCCAGCAAUACCGCGUGGGUGAAGAAGGCCUUCGGGUUGUAAAGCCCUUUUGUUGGGAAAGAAAAGCAGCAGGUUAAUACCCCGCUGUUCUGACGGUACCCAAAGAAUAAGCACCGGCUAACUUCGUG